UAGGGAAUUUUCGGCAAUGGACGAAAGUCUGACCGAGCAAUGCCGCGUGAAUGAUGAAGGUCUUCGGAUUGUAAAGUUCUGUUGUAAGGGACGAAUAGUAUAAUCAGGAAAUGGGUUAUAAAUGACGGUACCUUACUAGAAAGCCCCGGCUAACUAUGUGCCAGCAGCCGCGGUAAUACAUAGGGGGCAAGCGUUAUCCGGAAUUAUUGGGCGUAAAGAGUGCGUAGGUGGUUUAUUAAGUCUGGUGUGAAAUUUCACGGCUUAACUGUGAAGGGUCAUUGGAAACUGGUAAACUUGAGUACGGUAGAGGUAAGUGGAAUUCCAAGUGGAGCGGUGGAAUGCGUAGAUAUUUGGAGGAACACCAAUGGCGAAGGCAGCUUACUGGGCCGGGACUGACACUGAUGCACGAAAGCGUGGGGAGCAAACAGG
This 429-nucleotide ribosomal RNA is filed under the name uncultured bacterium. RNAcentral describes it as "bacterial SSU rRNA". It matches the Rfam family "Bacterial small subunit ribosomal RNA", at positions 355 to 776 of the family's 1533-position model. The record is from RNAcentral.